RNAcentral lists this transfer RNA (76 nucleotides) under Thermobacillus sp. ZCTH02-B1. RNAcentral describes it as "tRNA-Lys". It matches the Rfam family "tRNA". From Rfam's summary of the family: Transfer RNA (tRNA) molecules are approximately 80 nucleotides in length. Their secondary structure includes four short double-helical elements and three loops (D, anti-codon, and T loops). Lineage: Bacteria; Bacillati; Bacillota; Bacilli; Caryophanales; Paenibacillaceae. The record is from RNAcentral.
GGGUUCUUAGCUCAGUUGGUAGAGCAGGUGACUCUUAAUCAUCAGGUCCAGGGUUCGAGUCCCUGAGAACCCACCA